UACUAACAUUUCUAGGUUGAGGGGCUGGAAUGUUACACCUCUCUCUACCACUUGUCUUCAGUUUCUUUAUCACUUGUCCUCUUUCUUAGUGUCAAGUUCAGGACAAUAGGUGUUGCUUUCUGACAGAUCCUUUCCUUUGUCUCAAUACAGAAGUUUUCAUGGGCUGAGCUGCUGAGUUCAGCCUGGGAACUGAGGCCAACAAGGGAGUCUCCUCGGCACACAAGUUUGAAAGAAGUCCUGGUGACUUCAAGCUCAGAACCAUGGACGGCAGGGCUCCCUCUGGAUGUGGAAUUCUCCGUCCCUUUCCAGGGAGGGAACAAAGCCCACAGCACCGAGACUCCUUCAGGGUGAGCAAAGGCCUGGAAACCUGUAUGCAGUUAAAGAAAAGGAAAGAAAGAGAUAAUCAGUGCAUGCAGUUGUCAGCUGGCUGGGACCUGAGGAGAGUCACUUGUGGAGGCAACUGGUCUUUAUCCCUAUUGUCCGGUACAAGGCAGGCAUUAAUCCUGUGAUCCUUAUCUGAAGCUCAGGUUUGAUUUUAUUCUUUUCUUAAGGACCUAGUGUUAUCCCCAAGCUUGUAAUAAUAGUUUAAUUGUUACAGCCAAUAUCUCACCUUCAGAAAUAAGAUGCUUAGGAAACCAAGACAAGGAACUGUGUGUUGCAAACAGCAUCACCCUGGAGAAGAGGUGGCAGGAGGUGACCUACAGAAAAUGGAGCAAUAGCCUAGAGCAAGAAACACAGAACAAAAGAGAAAUGAGGGGUUAGGCAACCUCCUGGAGCACCACCGGGACAAGCACAUAUUCAGGGGCCUCCUAACAGACUCGACUUCCAGCAUCCUCAGAUGGGGCUAGACACGUUACAUAGACAUUCAAGAGCAGAGAACUCAGGGACUUCUGAUUUAUAUCAAGAAAUGCAUACACAGCAGACGUGUGCCUGUGGAGUGGAAUUCUGGAAAAGCUCACAGCCCAGAACAUAAUGCAGACUCCCCCAGCCACAGCACCUUCCAAUCCUGAGAAGAGUGCUGAUUCUCCAUCUGAGCACCCAUUCUCCUGCAACAUCAGGGGAGAGGAUUUCACCUAAGGGUCAGACCAGCGUCUCCAAACCCAGCUCCCCACCUUUGCCUGUUGGUGGCACUUGUGGGAGAAGGGGAGAUGAUAUGAAAAGAGCCACAACAGGAGUCACCUGGACAGGGUGGAGCUUGAUGGAAACUGACAUUUGUGCCCAUUGGAGGCAAAUGUAGAAUUUGGUAUCUUCCGUAGCGUCAGGCACAUGAAACUCUCCAGUGCCCAUGACUUUUGACAGUGACUUCAGAGCACAUCUGGGAGACCCAUGUGGCCCAGGCUCCACACAGAGGAUACAGAGGACCAACUGUAUACCACUUCAUGUGAUGUUGGAGUGCUGUUCUGCACGCCUAACUUUAUGGCUUGGUGGAUCAGACAAUGCCCAAUGUAUGAUGGAAAGCUCAGGUUGCAGGGUAGCUAGGUGGCCCAUGCUUGAGCAGUCUCCACUAAGUCCCAGGAGCAAGCCAAAACUGCUUCUGAAAAGGAGAGUAGUUAUCAGCGGAAGAUGGCAUGCUCCACAGUUCUAGGGUCCACACUGAUUUGCCUGUAGAGGCCUGCCAGUGGCUUCAGAUAGUAUCCCUAUCUGCCACUGACACUUCAAGCACCAUUGGAUCUCCUGAAACAUAAAGCCCAAGUGGGAGAGCAGCUUGCACAGCAGCCUGGACCUGUUGCAGAGCCUGCUUUUAUCCUGGGCUUAAAACUAGCAGCUUUUUGGGUCACUUGGCAAAUAGGUCAGAGAGUAACACACUCAAUUGAGGAAUAUGUUGCCUCUAAAAUCCAAAGAGGGCCUAAUGGUGUUAUGCCUCUUUUUUUGGUUGUACAAGGGGCUAGAUGCAACAACUUAUUCUUCACUUUAGAAGGGAUAUCUCGACCACUAGACUCCUAGAAAUUUCGCUGAAGUGAAAGGCCCUUGAAUUUUUAUAGGAUUUAUUUUCCACCCUCUGACAUGCAAAUGUCUUAGUAGUAAGUCUAGAAUAGUUGCUACUUCUUACUGCUUCCAGUCAGCAUUAUGUCAUCAAUGUAAUGGACCAGUGCGAUUGAUAUAGAAGGGAAAGGCAAUUAAGAUCCCUUCAGAUUAAAUUAUGACAUAGGGCUGGAGAGUUGGCAUACACCUGAGGUAGGACAACGAAGGUGUAUUGCGAGCUUGCCACCUGAAACCAAACUGUUUCUGGUGGUCUCUACUAACAGACAUCAGGAAAAAAAGUAUCUGCCAGAUCAGUAAGUGCAUACCAGGUACCAGGGGAUGUAUUAAUUUACUCAAGCUAUGAAACCACAUUUGGAACAGCAGCUGAAAUUGAUGUCCCCACCUGAUUAAGUUUCCAGUAAUUUACUCUCAUUCUCCAAGAUCUAUCUGUUUUCUUCACAGGCUAAAUAGGGGAGUAGAAUGGGAAUGUGAUAAAAAGUACCACCUCUGCAUCCUUCAAGUCCUUGAUGGUGGUACUAAUCUCUGCAAGCUCUACAAGAAUGCAGUAUUGUUUUUGGUUUGCUGUUUUUCUAGAUAGAGGCAGGUAAGUGGCUUCCACUUUAUAGCGUAAUUGCCCUCACUCUUCAGGUCAGGAAACCAGUGUAGGGAUUCUGCUAAUUGUUGAGUAUGUCUAUUCCAAUUAUUCUGCAGCUACAGAGAUAACAAGACGACCCACUGCAAGACAGACCUAAACUAAAACUCCAUUGAUCACCUAACCUCCCUAAGCCCCUACUCUCACUUGUGAACCAGAGUGAUGCAUUAGUUUUCCUGGGGUACCCUGAGUCUGAGUUCAGAACCAAUGUCCAGUAAUUCCCCCAAAGUCUGAUUAUUCCCUUUUCCCCAAUGCACAGUCAACUUGGUAAAGUGCUAUAGGUCCCUUUGGGGAAGGCUGAGAGAAAAAUGAACAGUAUACAAUUUUGGUAAUGCAGUGGGGACACAGCCUCCUCAUUAUUUAAGGAGAUAUGGGUCUGCAAACUGGCCCAAGUCUUGGAAUUGAUUCAGGAGCUGUGACUCCGUUUUUUUGAUUCGAGUUAGACUUUUAUUCACUUGAUUCUUCUUUUUAUACAGAACAGAUAAGAAUUUAGUAGGCUUUCCAUCUCUUUUAUUUCUAUGGAUACUAUGACCAGCUAGCUAAUGCCAUAAGUCUCUGUAAAUCGGACUUUCUAACUACAGUUUUGACUUUACUGUCCAUUACAGUAACCAUGUUCACCUUGUCUUUGGUGAUUAAAUGCUGCCACUUGGCCCCUGCCAUCCUGGGAUCCAGUUACUCUCCUUAUACUUAAGAAUCCCAUUCAGUGGCAGCAGUUCCCACUGUAAUUUCUGACCUAUACAGAAGAGCAACCACAGAGCUCUUUAAAAAUAUUGGAACUCCCUCACAAAUUUAUUUCUCAUAGUCAUAACAGAAAGUGUGUCCUGAGCUAGAUGUGGUAGCUCACACCUAUAAUCCCAGCACCUUGGGUGGCCAAGGUAGGAGAAUCGCUUGAGCUCAGGAGUUUGAAGCCUGCUUGGGCAACGUAGCAAGACCUUGCCUCUAUAAAAAUUUUUAAAAUUAGCCAGGUAUGAUGGUGCAUAUAGUCCCAGCUACUCAGGAGGCUGAGGCAGGAGGGUCUCUUGAGCCCAGGAGUUUGAGGGUACAGUGUGCUAUGGUCACACCACUGCACUCCAGCCUGGGCAAUAGAGUGAGCCCUGACUCUAAAAAAUAAUAAUAAAUAGAAAAAGAAAGCAUGUCCUCUUGUUAAAGAUUUUUCAAUGACACUUGUUCAAGGAUGGUAAGGCUGACUUUUUCAAGAUCAUCAGAAUAGAUACAGGGACCAAUGCAAUAGCAUUUUACAGCGAGGGAGAGAGAUUGGGCUCAACUCUGAAUACAGUUUGGGUAAGUGGGAAUUUAUUGCCAAGGAGUAGGGUGGGGGUCAGUGGAUUGAAAAUUACUAAGAGGAAACUUCAAGAGUAAGGAAAGAUUCUGGCUUAACUGACCUAACAGGAUUCUUGCUGAAAACAGGCUGGGGUGUUGAGACACUACCUGGGAGAUGGUGGAGGAUGAAGCCCUGAUCAGAUAUGGAGGAUGAUCAGAUAUUGAGCAUGGAGGUU
RNAcentral lists this long non-coding RNA (4110 nucleotides) under Homo sapiens (human). RNAcentral's name for it is "HSALNT0152700". The record is from RNAcentral. Lineage: Eukaryota; Metazoa; Chordata; Mammalia; Primates; Hominidae.